GAUGAACGCUGGCGGUAUGCCUAACACAUGCAAGUCGUACGAGAGUUUUUAACUCUAGUGGCGGACGGGUGAGUAACACGUGAGAAUUUGCCUUUAGGAGGGGGACAACAAUUGGAAACGAAUGCUAAUACCCCAUAUGCUUUCGAGUGAAAUGGAUUUUAUCCGCCUAGAGAGAAGCUCGCGGCUGAUUAGCUUGUUGGUAAGGUAAGAGCUUACCAAGGCGACGAUCAGUAUCUGGUUUGAGAGGACGAUCAGACACACUGGAACUGAGACACGGUCCAGACUCCUACGGGAGGCAGCAGUGGGGAAUUUUCCGCAAUGGGCGAAAGCCUGACGGAGCAAUACCGCGUGAGGGAAGAAUGCCUAUGGGUUGUAAACCUCUUUUUUCAGGGAGGAAUCAAUGACGUUACCUGAAGAAUAAGCAUCGGCUAACUCCGUG
RNAcentral lists this ribosomal RNA (439 nucleotides) under uncultured bacterium. Its description in RNAcentral is "bacterial SSU rRNA". It matches the Rfam family "Bacterial small subunit ribosomal RNA", at positions 28 to 507 of the family's 1533-position model. The record is from RNAcentral.